RNAcentral lists this ribosomal RNA (1463 nucleotides) under uncultured Bordetella sp. RNAcentral's name for it is "partial 16S-23S ribosomal RNA intergenic spacer". It matches the Rfam family "Bacterial small subunit ribosomal RNA". Lineage: Bacteria; Pseudomonadati; Pseudomonadota; Betaproteobacteria; Burkholderiales; Alcaligenaceae. The record is from RNAcentral.
GGUUUGAUUCUGGCUCAGAUUGAACGCUGGUGGGAUGCUUUACACAUACAGUCAGACAGCGGCACGACUUCGGUCUGGUGGCGAGUGGCGAACGGGUGAGUAUGUAUCGGAACGUGCCUAGUAGCGGGGAUAACUACGCGAAAGCGUAGCUAAUACCACAUACGCCCUUCGGGAAAGCGGGGACCUUUGGGCCUCUCCUUUACUGACUAGGGCUGCCGAUAUCGGAUUAGCUGGUUGGUGGGGUAACGGCUCACCAAGGCGACGAUCGUAGCUGGUUUGAGAGGACGACCAGUCACACUGGGACUGGGCCUGACCCAGACUCUACGGGAGGCAGCAGUGGGAGGAAUUUUGGACAAUGGGGAAACCUGAUCCAGCCAUCCCGCGUGUACGUUAAGGCCUUCAGGUUGUAAGCACUUUUGGCAGGAGAAAAACGGCACGGGAUAAUACCCCGUGCAACUGACCGUACCUGCGAAUAAGCACCGGCUAACUACGUGCCAGCAAUGCUGUUAUUACGUAGGGUACGACGUUAAUCGGAAUUACUGGGCGUAAAAAAGCGUGCGCGGUUCGGAAAAGAAGAUGUAAAAUCCCGACUUAACACGGAACUGCAUUUUUAACUACCGAGCUGUAGAGUGUGUCAGAGAGGUGGAAUUCCAUGUCUGCUGAUGAAAUGCAUGAAUAUGCGGAGAGACACCGAUAGCGAGGCAGCCUCCUGGGACCUUCACUGACGCUAUUUGCGAAAGCGUGGAGAUAAGCUUAAGGAUUAGAUACCCUGGUAGUCCCGCCUAAACGGUAUCAACUAGCUGUUGGGGUCUUGGGCCUUGGUAGCGCAGCAACGCAAUGAAGUUGACCGCCUGGGGAGUACGGUCGCAAGAUUAAAACUCGAGGAUACGGCGGGGACCCGCACAAGCGGUGGAUGAUGUGGAUUAAUUCGAUGCAACGUGAAAAACCUUACCUACCCUUGACAUAUCUGGAAUCCCGAAGAGAUUUGGUGCUGCUCGAAACCGGAACACAGUGCUGCAUGGCUGUCGUCAGCUCGUGUCGUGAGAUGUUGGUUAAGUCCCGCAACGAGCGCAACCCUUGUCAUUAGUUGCUACGAAAGGCACUCUAAUGAGACUGCCGGUGACAAACCGGAGGAAGGUGGGGAUGACGUCAAGUCCUCAUGGCCCUUAUGGGUAGGGCUUCACACACGUCAUACAAUGGUCGGGACAGAGGGUCGCCAACCGCGAGGAGCCAAUCCCAGAAACCCGAUCGCAUUCCCAGUUCCUGGUCUGCAACUCGACUGCGUGAAGUCGGAAUCGCUAGUAAUCGCGGAUCAGCAUGUCGCGGUGAAUACGUUCCCGGGUCUUCAUACACACCGCCCGUCACACCAUGGGAGUGGGUUUACCGUGAACCGGCCUAACCGUAAGGAGGGCGAUUACACCGAUGAGAUUCGCAGGCUGUAGGGUGAAGUCGUAACAAGGUAG